AUUAGGAACCUUCAGUGGACCUGUCCAUCCAAAUAACGGAUGGAGCUCCUCUAAGGCCUGGUGGCUAGAUCCCAAUGUCAGUUACAAAAGCUAAGUUUGCGCAAAAAGGUAACGUGUGGAAUGCAUUGUUCAUUUUCUGCAUUUGUUUCUGGAUAUUAAUUCCAUUGCCUAUGUUCAUUUCGUUGUACGAAUUGAAUAUUUUAAAAUUUAACUUCUCUUUUGGUGUUAAUUAACCUCCAGGGGAUAAAUUCAUGUAAAACAAGUGGACAAGAAUAAGAAGAAACUUUAGAAGAUUGAAAGGAAAAUGUUACGUUGGGUGAGUCCUUUUCUCACAAAAGAUUAAAUUUUUAUUAUGUAGGGUUUGAUCCCCAAUAUGAAAAUAUAGGUAUGUUGAUUUGAGUUUUAAGUGUUCAUUCUAUUUUUGAUUUCAUUAAUACAAUUUUCUAAAAGGUCAAGUUAAAUUGGAUUCUUUUUUGUUUUAUUUUUUGUCCAUACAUUGUAAAAAAAGGUGAAACAAAACCCUUGGUAAAUUCAAUCGACGAUUAUAGCUGUGUCUUCAUCCUAUUGCGAUUUUGCGGCGGCUUUUUGUAUAUGUUGCUGUGAUUUGCUCAUUUGCAGUAGCCUUUGUACAUCUUGCUGCAAAUUCUGAUGGUUAUAUCUUUAAAUUGUGAAGUAUGUCUAUUUAGAAUUUUCCUCCAGUCUAUAAUUUUUUUUCAAAAAAUUUUAGUACAAAUAAAUUCAGAAGGCUGAGAUAUAAUCCUAAAACCUUCAUUCUUGAGUAUCUUUCUUCCACUAUCUUCAACCUUAUUGCUUUUCUAUUUGAUUUAUUUAGUGGGAAUUUUGAGAGAUCCUUUUUGUUUUCUUUCAACCUUAUUGCUUCGUUUCAGACGCUUCUCAAGUAUUGUCAAGCAGAAAUUUUGACGAUUGGGAUUACUGUUCCUGGGUCAAGUUUCUUGCGAUUUAGGUUCUCGGGUGGUGGAAUUUAAUAUUGUUGGUGAGGUCAUUCUUCUUCUUCUACUAGAAUUUAUAGAUUUCUAUUCUAUGGGUUUCAAAUUAGAAGGUUUUUUUUGUUUGGGUAAAAAUGAGGGUGUUUUGGUGACAGAUUUUUAAGAUUAUUCCUAUUCAUGUUAGCAUUCGUAUAAGUCACCGUUUGUUUCCGGUACAAAGUUUAUGGCCCUGCAGAAAUAAAAGGUAGCGAUAUUGAUUGGAUGGAGUUAACUUUGCAAUAAAAAAAUCCAAGCAAAUAGAAUUUGGCCAAUUUGGAAAACCAGCAUCCAUUUAAUCAUCACUUACGUAAAAAAAGUUCGGCACUUAAUAAAACAUUUUACAAUAAUUUUUGCUCUAAAAGAUGUAUCAAAUAAAUGAUUUUAUAUGUAACAAGCUACCAAGAAAUGUCACUGUAAACAUAAACAUAGAUUAAUUGUAAAGAUUUCAUCAACUUAGUUGAAUGAGCAUGUAUUGAGAAGACAGGAGAAGACAGAAGAAGAAAUCUAGGAAAUAGAUGUCAUGAUCCUUAUGCAAGCAUGCUUGUAUUCAAGCUAGAAAAAGCCAUCGAAUAUAUUAAAAAAAAAACAAAAACUUAGGGCUUGUUUGAGCCCCAUUGUUUUCAAAAAUGCAUUUUGAAAUAGUAUUAUGAUAGAAAGUGUGUGGUUAAAAAAUAAGAAAAAGAUUUAGAUUUUCAUGUAAUAUUAUUAAAAAAUAUGUGGUUGAUAUAGAGUCAAAUAACUAUUGAAGAAUGUAUUUUGAUAGAAAAAUGGGGAUUAAACACAAGCUUACUUUAUUAUUUUAAAAUAAGCAUGCAGGAUACAAAUGCGCAUUAUGUUGAUAGACGGCAUGUUCAAUAGGAUUUUGAACUCAAUCCUAUACCAGGAAACUAAGAAUUUGUAAUGUGCUACAGAUUGCGGAAUUUUAGGAUAAUGAAAGAUGGAUUGAUAAAUUGUUUUCGCUGGCUAUAUGUUGGCUAGAUUUCCUUUUACACGCAUAUAAAGUGUCACCUCCAAAUCCACAUAUGCAGAAUCCUCCCUACUUAAUCUGUGCAUAUACACUUUGUUACUUAGACUUGGCCGGAAGUGUCGGAUAAAAUCAAUUGUUGAACAUGGGUACUCUUUUUCUUCUUUGGGUUUUCAAAAUCAUUCUGUAAAUUAUUCAUGAUCUCUCUUUCUUAGUUUCAAGCUAGCUUGAUGAUGAUGAAUGAAAGUACCCGAUGAUUGGAAGUCGGUAAGAAAUUCCUCUUUCAUACCUUCAAAUAGGCAUGUUUUUAUUUGGAUACAUUGAUAUAUUUUCAUAUAGACAAACACAUAAAGCACAAAGGGAAUAUAAAGAACAAAGAGAAAUUCUACCCACAACUAAAGGAAACUUUUGCACAAACAUCUAGAUACAUGAACGAUAUGGUUCUCUGACAUUUGUGUACGUUGGCAUAAAUAUGAAUGUCAUCAAGGCAAUUACUCAAAUAUUUAUGUGCUAAUUAUCAUUAGUGCAUUUGUUCAUAUUCUGUUAAUAUUUGAUUGCACUGGCAUUGAGGAUUUGUUUCUCAAUUAAGUUAAUCAGAAUGAGGAUAUAUAAUACCUUGUUCUUAAUCAUGAUGCCGCCUAAAUUUUUAACCGGAAAUGGUGAGAGUUAGUGUCUUCAAUAACGCUCUUAAGAGCAUGUACAAUGCAGAGAAGCUAGGGAAGUGUCAGGUCAUGAUUCAACCAUCCUCCAAAGUCAUUAUUAAGUUUCUCUUCAUGAUGCAAAAGCAUGGUAUACAAAACAUUGUGUGGUGUUAAUUUGUUGUCUAUUUACGCAUGCAAUAUUCUAUCUAUACACUUAAUUCUUUAUCAUGUCUGUAGGAUACAUUGGAGAGUUUAAGUACAUCAAUGAUCACUGAUCUGGUAAAAUUGUGGUUGAACAAAUGUAGAGUCAUCAGCCCUGACUUUGACGUUGCUAUCCAGGAAAUUGAGGAAUGGAAUGCAAGGUUGCUUCCCUUCUGGCAGGUAAUAUAUAAAAAAACAUUGUACAUUAACAUUUGGAUGAUGAUCACUUGGUGAAUAUUGAGCUAUCAACCUGGCCAUAUGAUAAUAUAUAUGUUUUGCACAUGCACCUUUUAUUUCAUGGAAUAGUAUUAUCAAGGAGACUCUAUCUCUUAUUCAAACUUUUAUUAAGGUAUCUUCAAUUAGCAUGUCAAUCGGAUAUCUCCAUUCUUAAAUAGCUUCACAUCUUCCUAUCGUAAAAUGUGAUUAUUAUGUUUGGUUGUACCCUCAUUUCAUUCGUCUUUUCCCCAGUAGGUCGAGCAAAUUGUACUUUGUAUAGUAAUUAGACUUCAAAAAAAAUAUUAUCCUGCCUCAUCAGAUGUACAAUGGUAUGCUGCCAAUCCCAAGAGAAUGCUAAUUGCUGAAGUCCACAAAAUUAAAUUUCAUUUUUCUUACUUUCCUUCCUUCAAUAAAUAUCUUCUUUCAAUUGUUUUAAGCUCAUUUUACUUUUCAGUUUUGGAUACAUUUGUUGGCAUCAUGGAGCAUGAAGAGGCUAGGAGAAAGAAGGUUGAGGGGGAAAGUGUGCAAUCCCUGUGCAAACUAGUUUCUGAUGUAAUGUAAGUGAUCCCUACUUGAAUCAACAUAGUACUUAAAAGAAUUGAGGAAGUGUGUUCCAUGCACUGGUUGCUUGGAGCUUAAUCUUGAUUCUUUAAAUGCUAACUCUUCGUUUCUCGUUCCAUGCACUGGUUGCUUGGAGCUUAAUCUUGAUUCUUUAAAUGCUAACUCUUCGUUUCUCGUCUAAGCAUUUUAUCAAAUAGCUUGUGCGGGAUGAAGAAAUUAAUUUGACAAAGUGGCACUUAGAUGAUUGCUUUUAUUACCUUGACAAUUUUUCCAAGAUUACAACUUUUGUUGCAAGUCUUCAAGGUUAUUAAGUUCCAUUUGCCAUGUAAUAAAAACUAGGUUGUGUCGAAAUUAUUUCCUACUUAUAUGAUGUUUCACAAAAAAGUUGAGUAUCGAAUAAUUCUUAACUUUGUAGAAACGAGUACAUAAAAAAUGUUAUUUAAGAAGUCCCCUAAAAAAAAGGUGAAAAAAAAUCUAUUUCUAGAAACACUAAAAUUACCUUCGAAAUGACAAAGCUCGUGCAUGGCACGGGCAAUAAACUAGUAUAAAUAGAAGGGUGCAUGAUAUAGAAGAAGUUACUUAUUUUAAUGGUAGUCACUGUACAUAGUUUUUUUGAUAGCUUACAGCAUUUACAUAUUUCCAGAAUUCAAAAGAUAGCAAAAUAAUUAAACCAACUCUUUCAUCUGAAAACAAUAAGUUUUCUGGUUUCUUAACUAAAGACUCAAUAUUAAGUUACUACAGUACGACGAAUUUCGUGUAUUAAAAUACAAAAAUUGUUACAAAUUGUAUUUUGAUAAAAUACAAGUGAUUUGACCUUCAUGUAAUUGCAAAAUUGUAAAAAUCUUCUGAUAAAUGAUCUGAAUAUUUGAAGACGAGGGGUCACGUGGCUUGAAACCUAGUCUUCGAUAAUUUUUUGAAAAUUUGAUUUUUUGAGACUUGACCUAUUCAGCACUUAGAUUGCUUGGACUUGAACUUGGAUUUGAUUUGAUGUAAAGAAAACUUUGAUCUUCUUGAAUUUGGUGUGAACCUGUUUUGUUCAAAGAAGAUUUUGAUUUUCUUAGGGUUCAAAAGAUUUGGGUUUGAGAGGAUUUAUUCUCUUCCUUCGACGUUGAAAUUUUUUCAGUACUUCGUAAUUGUCUUCUAUGCUUUCACUUCUUCUUGAUUUUCUUCUCCCUCCUCCCCUUAUGGAUAAUUGGUCCUAUUUAUAGGGGAAUUUCCGUGCUAAUUUUGGUAAUACUAAAUUAUAUUUAAUUAAAAUGAAUAAUUGAGUAAUUUAUUAUUUUAUUUAUUUAUUUAAAAUGUGAUAUCGGCUUUUCGGUUUUAUGGACUAUAGUAGGCUUCAAUUUAAUUGGCAAAUGAUUUAAAUUGAUCCAAUCCAUUUUUUAAAAAUUUUUUUAUAUCAACAAAUGUCCCCUCAAGAUUUAUUUAUUUAUUAUGAAAUAAAUAAAUAAAUCAUAAUAAAUAAAUAAAUCUUGAUUUUCGAUUUUUUUUUCGCCUAUUUAUUUGAGUGAAUUAUGAGAUUUGAAAACAGGUUUGUUAAAUCUAGCAAACAGAGGUAAAUAAAUGUUUUUCCUUCCCCUCCCCCCUCCCUCUUGUUUGUAUUUUUUUUAUCCUUCUCUUGGUUUCAUCGUUGACCCUUUAUUAUUUUUUUAAUAUUUCUCGAUUUCUGCAGCCAGCGGAAAAAAAAUGGCGGCGGAAACCAUUGAUUUGGAAUUGGUUUAGGAAUUGGAAUUAUUAUCUCCUUUGUAUAUUUUUAUUUUUAAAUUUUUUUUAAUUAUUAAUUAGCUUUCUUGGUUUCUGUAAAACCAAACAAUUGUGGGCAGAAACCAAAAAACCAUGGUUUCUACCAAAUUUUUUUUCUUCUUUUUCCCCUUUAUUUAUUUUUUCAAUUUCUUUCUUUUUAUUUCUUUUUAGUUCUUUUCUUCUUCAUUUUUUUUUAUAGAAUGUCUUUUUAUUUUGGGUUGAAUUUUGAUUUUUGUUUUAUUUUUUCUUAGUGUGGGUAUUUUAUUGAAGUCGAAACUAACAUUCUUCAUUUUUUUUUUCAAGAACUCAACUUUUGAAGUAAGCCGAGAAUUUUGAGGUUUGAGGGUUUUGUGUGUGUGUGUGGAAAUUAAAUUUUUGUGCUGCAACUACUUUAGAAGUUGGAAAAUAUAUGCUUAUGAACAAACUUAAAAUUACAAACCUUUUCAUAUGAAUUGAGGACCAAGGACUCUCACUUUUCACCAUCUAAUGCACUUUUUGUUUAGGACUAAGAAUCUGUUCCUUCGACUGUCCAAGACAUUUUGUGUUGAGGAACAAAGACUUGUUCGUUCGAUCAUCCAAUGCGCUUUAUGUUGAGGAUCAAGGAUUGGCUCCUUCGAUUGUCCAUGGCGUUGAGGACCAAGAACCAGCUUCUUCGACCAUUCAAGACAUUUUGUGUUGAGUACUAAGGACUUGCUUCUUCAACCGUCCGAGGGACUUUGUGUUGAGGACCGUCCAAGGCACUUUGUAUUUAGGACCAAGGGCUGGCUCCUUCGACUGUCCAAGGCACUUUGUGUUUGGGACAUUUACAUAUUUGGAAGGCUCGUAAUUUUAGAUGAUAAUGAAUUUAAGAGAUUUACUACCCCUUUUUAUUUGCUUUCUUUUUUCUUUUGCAUGAUAGGAAUAAGUUCCAAUGAUAAAGUAUACUCUAACAUACACGAAAUUAUUGAGCUUAAAAAUUAAGGCAAAAGUUAUUUGCGUUUCAAAGAUACCAAUUUGAAGUACCAUGCCUAGACUUGCCAACGAAUGAUCCUUCUCCUGACCUCCUGAGCCAUUGUUGGAGUUGUAUAUGCCUACCAUUAGUGAAUGUCACGAAAGUUUGGAUAUUGGCAAGUGCAACCACUUCCGCAGAGCAUGGAGUGCAUCCCAAAGGCUGAANUUGGUUGUACCCUCAUUUCAUUCGUCUUUUCCCCAAUAGGCCAAGCAAAUUAUACUUUGUGUAAUAAUUAGACUUCAAAAAAUAUUAUCCUGCCUCAUUAGAUGUACAAUGGUAUGUUGCCAAUCCCAAGAGAAUGCUAACUGCUGAAGUCCACAAAAUUAAAUUUCAUUUUUCUUACUUUCCUUCCUUCAAUACAUAUCUUUUUUCAAUUGUUUUAAGCUCAUUUUACUUUUCAGUUUUUGAUACAUUGUGCUGAUUACAUCUGCUGGCAUCAUUGACCAUGAAGAGGCUAGGAGAAAGAAUGUUGGGGGAAAAAAAGUGCGCAAUCCCUGCGCACAUUAGUUUAUGAUGUAAUGUAAGUGAUCCUUACUUGAAUCAACAUAGAACUUAGAAUUGAGGAAGGGUGUUCCAUGCACUGGUUGCUUGGAGCUAAAUCUUGAUUCUUUAAAUACUAACUCUUCGUUUCUUGUCUAAGCAUUUUAUCAAAGAGCUUGUGCAGGAUAAAGAAAUUAAUUUGACAAAGUCACUUUGGCGAUUGCUUUUAUUACCUUGAUGAUUUUUGUUAUCCAAGAUUACAACUUCUGUUGCAAGUCUUCAAGGUUAUUAGGUUCAAUUUGCCAUGUAAUAAAAAUUAGGUCGUUUCGAAAUUAUUUCCUACUUUCAUAUGUUUGAUAAAAAGGUUGAGUAUCGAAUAAUUCUUUAACUUUGCGUAAGCGAGUACAUAAAAAAUGUUAUAUUAUGCACCAAAGAUUUAAGAAGUCACCAAAAAAAAAAAAAAGUGGAAAAAAUUUUAUAUAUUCUAGGAACACUAACAUUACCUUCGAAAUAACAAAGCGCGUGCAUGGCAUGGGCAAUAGAUUAGUAGUACAAUAAAGAGACCUUAACUAAUUACAAUACAAUAUCUUUAUUUUAAAUAGAAUACUACUUUUGGAGAUAAUAUAGCUCACUACACUAGAUAAAGAAAUACAAUAUAAUGAUAUAUACAAUUGGAAAAUAUCAUUUUCUUAUAUAUAUAGAAAGUGAAGAAAAAUAUAAAAAAAUAAAAACCAUUAUCAUCUCACCUACACUUAUUUCAGUUUGGACCGAGGCAUAGAUGAUAGAUAUACAUAUUAUGUGAUUAAUUGUCGCCUCAUAGAUCCCUCGCGAGAUGUUAGCCAUGGUUAACUUCUGUUCAUAGGGUUAAUCUCUAAUCUUUUGUCUUGAAGGGUAGCUUAAAUUACUUAAUGCUAGGUAGCAAAAACCUUAAAAAAAAGGUCUCCCAACCGUUUUGUGCCAGCAUUUAGUGCUAAAUGUGUAAAUUACCCUAUUCUUUAUUCUCUCCAAAUUCUUACAGAUCAACUCUAAUUAACGUGAGCCCAUUUUUCCUUUCUUUUUGUACAUAAAAUGCAGGAGGAUACUAUUAAGUGGUUCCCCGGGUAUAACUGGAAAGAGGGGAAUGGAAUCCAAGAUGAAGUUUAAGAGAGAUUCACUUAUAGAGAUGAAGAAAGGAUAAGAGAACAAAAAUAGAGUUACAAUUUAAUCAGAAUUUUAAAAUAGAUUUGAUCAGAUCGUAGAAGUAUUUCGAUAAUGUUCUAAUUUAGUAGAAGUUCAUUGGACUUGAUAAUAGAUGAUUUAUUCAUUGUAAUAUUCAACCCGUAAUUAUAUGAAUAGUCUUCAAUUAUUCAACCAAUUAAGCUUGUCUCAUAUGAAAAAUCGAGAAACACCACCAACUCAAAAUCAUAUAAAAAGACAGCAUAAUUUGGCCCUAUUAGAGUUAAAGAACUGCACAUAGAGAAUCAGAUAUGGCAUAUGCUUUGUACCUUGAAAAGUCAUCAACCAAGUUGGCCCGGAGAGUCAGUGUCGGCAAUAUCAUCAAAAAGUAAAAAAAAAAAAAAAAAAAAAAGGAAAAGUGCGUCAGAUAAUUAUUUCACUCCAUUGAAUUGCUAGUGAAGAAUAAUUACGUAGACCAAGUUAUACUGUUCAAUGGAAGUUUCAGGAAGGCAUAUAAUAGCAGCAGUUGCAAUAUCAGGAUGCAGCUUAAUCUUGGUGUCAUAUCUACGGCAGAAAAUUCUCCGGUUCUGUCCCAACCACUCUCAUGGAAAGUCGACCAUGAUUGCAGACAGAGAGAGACAUGUUUCCUCUACCAAAAAUGAAUGCUCAGCAACAGGUAUCUCCAAACCAAGACAAUAAUAUUAGAUGGGAAAUGCUACUUGUAUACGCUGGUUUACCACCUCGUUUACAGAAUACUGAGUUGACAAGAUUUUUCGGACAAAAAGACGAGGUUUAAAUAGCAUGUAAAAUCUUGCUACCUCAGCACCUGUAACUACUUCUGAUAAAAAAAAAUAUGUAAAAGUAGCAUUUUCCAUAUUAGAUUGAGCCUUUCAAUUUUCCUUUUGUGUGUAUAUGUCUUGGAUGAUCAUGUAUGGGGAGUGUAGUGAUUAGGCCUAGACGACUAUUUAUUGUUACACGUCACAAAGAUUAGCAUUGCAUAAUUUUGCAAACAUAAAUCACAUACGACGAGAUUCAAAUAUUCGCUGUAAUUCAUUAAAAUCGAAGCUAUGAAAUUGAUUUCACCAUAAUUUUUGGUUCCUUGCAUUGACGUUCAAACUUUACAGGUAAAGUUCGAAAACAAGGUUGGUUCUCGGCUAUAAAAGACGCACCAAGUGACGAUAAAUUACUGAGGAAAAGAAGUCACAUUUAGAGACACAGGAUACAAUCUGGAGUCGAGAAAAGAAAGGAAGGAUGAAUCUGCCUGAAAAUUGGAACAAUUUGUAUAAUGGGAUUAAUAGUUACCGAUCUCAGCAGGCUAUUUUAAUGAUGUAUGCUUAAGCGAAAGUAGUAAGUCCUUUGGUUUUAUAUAUAAAAGAACCCUACGCGCUCAAAUAGUCCUAUUACAUAUCUAAACUUCGUCUUAGAGAAAAUCCUAUGAUUAUAUUUCAUCAGAUGAUCAAAUACGGACAUGCUCGUCGCGCAGUGAUGGAUUGAAUGGAUGAUGAAAAGAAUUUAUAUAAAUGACUCUAAAUUCAUUAAGAAAUAAGGAUUUGUUUUGAUUUUCCGAGGUUCAAUCAGUUGAAUAUGUAUGGAAAUUGUAAGAAG
This 9543-nucleotide long non-coding RNA is filed under the name Olea europaea subsp. europaea. The record is from RNAcentral. Lineage: Eukaryota; Viridiplantae; Streptophyta; Magnoliopsida; Lamiales; Oleaceae.